Vespa crabro (European hornet) is the source of this 2492-nucleotide long non-coding RNA. RefSeq lists it as uncharacterized. The transcript has 4 exons. Lineage: Eukaryota; Metazoa; Arthropoda; Insecta; Hymenoptera; Vespidae. The record is from RefSeq and is a predicted model, not a curated record.
GUCGGAGAGAUGAACGAGUUCGAUGAUUAAAAGCAGGGAUUACGAAUGGGAUUGUUCGAGAGUGUUUUUUAAAGAGCCGAGUGUUCGUACACUUUGCGAAGUCAGCAGGCGUGACUAGGCAAGUAUCGAAGGAAGGGUUUUCCUUGUCGAAAAUAAGCCACGUGGGUGAAGGGUAGAAAGAGAAAGAGAGAGAAAUACGGAAGGGGAGAAGCACGCAUAGUUACGAGAAAGGGUGAGUGACUCGAUGUAAAAAGCGGUGUUCUUUCUCUCUUACUCAUACACACACACACACACACACACACGCUCACUCACUCUUGGUCCACCCUCGUUGGUAUCCACCCAUUGUUUCCAUAUUCUCCUCUUUCCUCUCUCUUUCUCCCUCUCUCGCUCUCUAUCUCUCUCUCUCUAUCUCUUUCUGUCUCUGUCUCUUUUUUCAUUGCCCUCCGGAUACAAAAAGAAAGAAAGAAAAUCAAAAGGGACGUCAUUUUUCAGAGUGACGGACGAGCGGGAAACCGCAUACAGGGAGAGUCCUCCAAUUUUAUAUCAUUGUGAUAUCAAAAUUAUUAACUUCUCUUCUUGAUACAUAUAUACAUAUGUCUAUAUAUAUAUGUAUAUAGUGUGUGUGUAAGUGAGCGAGUGGGUGUAUGUAUAUAUAGUAAUAUAGAAUAAUGCCAUUUUUCAAAGUGACAAACGUAUGAGAAACUGCGAAAUAAAAAGAGAGAGAAAGAGAGAGAGAGAAAGUCCUCCAAAUUUUAUAUCAUUUUUAUAUGAAAAUUAUUAACUUCUCUAUUUAUUAAAUGAAUAAUUUCUCUUUUAUAUGCUUAUAUGUAUUUAUAUAGGACAAAUUAAUAUAGACGCAAUGUCAUAUGUGUCAUUGUUAUUAAAUACGCAUUAACGAAGGUGAACUGUUCCGAGAAUAUAAACAGUUCUAAGAAUUUAGCCAAGGACUUUGGAGUUUGUUUAUCAAUACGUAUACGUAAUUGAAAUACCAUUUCAGUCUUCUAUGAGCGAUCGAAGAGACAAGACGUAUAAGAUUCGUUUCUUUUAGAAAUUUUUAAAACGUUUUAGAAUUAUCAUUUAAUAUCGUACAUUAAUAUUAGUUUCGUUAUUAGUAUUAUUUUAUUAACACAUACACACAUAUACAUAUAUACGUAUAGAUAUAUAAGAGUUAUAAUUCGAUAAGAAUAAAUCGAUAAUAUUUUGAUAUCACUUUUGUAUCGUCUUAAAAACAAUUAUCUAUUAACUUUUUCAUUUCAAUUGUUUCAAAAGAAAAGACAAGUAAUACUAUUAAUUAUUAUGGAUGUAAUAUGUAUAUGUGUGUGUAUGUAAAAAGAUAUCAACUUCGAUACGUAGUACCAAUAUACGUGUACAUUUCUAACAGGAUACUUGGAGUUUUUUUUUUCUUUUUUUUUUUUUUUUGGCGGAUCGAUUGCGUUGAAAAUCACGCGUGCGGAACGAAACACAGUUUGGUAGAAGGGGAAAGAGAAGGGUCAACCAAACCUGAUGUUUCUACGUUACUGCAACCCUUUGAUUCGCGUAUCGACUGUCUGCCACUCGUCGAAGGGUGAAACAAAUUUGUUCGACGUUCGACGGGUUCUCGGGGGCCUCGAGGGCAUGGGUAUACUCGCGUGACGUCGAUGGAGAAUCGGUCAGGAAACGUCGGCUAUGGGCACACGAAGAGAAACGAAGGGUGGAGGAAGGACGAAGGAAGAAGAAGAAGAAAAAGAGAGAGAGAGAGAGAGAGAGAGAAAAGGAAGAAGUUGAGGCCGUUACGAGACACAACACAACACACGUCAAAAUGUAUUGGAUAAUCGUACAUUGACGAUGAGAUGCAUUUUGGUCGACCUCGAGACAAGAAAUAAGCGAAGAUCCGGCCGUAUUUUUUUUUUUGUUUUUGUUUUUGCGAAGGUUAUUAUUACGAAAGGAAAAGUUAUAAAUACCUAUUUAAUUUGCACUUCUACAGAAGUAGAGUACCUUUAAUAUCUGGAAGGGAAUAAAUUUGGCCGACAUCCAGAAUAUCCACCUAUUUUUGCGAGAUGCUAUUUUGGACUCGGGCCAUCUAACACAAGAGAUAAAAAAGAAAGAAUGGAAAAAAAAAAAUAAAUGAGAGAGUGAGAGAGAGAGAGAGAGAGAGAGAGAGAGAGAGAACUUCAAUAUAUUAAAAAUCCAAAACUCUACCGAAGCCCUUACAUUCAAUUCACCCAUUUAUUCCCACCCACCUAUCCCCAAUCCCAUUUUCCCAUUAAGAUAGUUAUAAUACAGAUAUAACAGGCAGAAACUUUGCUUCUUAAGAAAAACUGUCCGAGGAAGUUAUGAUUAUGAUCGAGUUUCUUUCUAGUUGGAGUUUAGCUUAACAAACACCACGAUGGCUAACACACCUGACCGACCGGCAUUGGACACUUUAGAAGACCGUGAGGGAAACACGAGAACGUCCUACUUGAAACAAUAACUGUCAGAAUUUAUUAACAUGAAUUUGAAAAGUUUUACGAUAA